This 301-nucleotide ribosomal RNA is filed under the name uncultured bacterium. Its description in RNAcentral is "partial 16S ribosomal RNA". It matches the Rfam family "Bacterial small subunit ribosomal RNA", at positions 509 to 807 of the family's 1533-position model. The record is from RNAcentral.
CAGCAGCCGCGGGAAUACGUAGGUGGCAAGCGUUGUCCGGAAUUAUUGGGCGUAAAGGGCUCGCAGGCGGUUUCUUAAGUCUGAUGUGAAAGCCCCCGGCUCAACCGGGGAGGGUCAUUGGAAACUGGGAAACUUGAGUGCAGAAGAGGAGAGUGGAAUUCCACGUGUAGCGGUGAAAUGCGUAGAGAUGUGGAGGAACACCAGUGGCGGAGGCGACUCUCUGGUCUGUAACUGACGCUGAGGAGCGAAAGCGUGGGGAGCGAACAGGAUUAGAUACCCCUGUAGUCCCUGUCUCUUAUAC